UAAGGAAUAUUGGUCAAUGGACGAGAGUCUGAACCAGCCAUGCCGCGUGCAGGAAGAAGGCGUUCUGCGUCGUAAACUGCUUUUAUAUAGGAAGAAAAAGUUCUUGCGAGAACCAUUGACGGUACUAUAUGAAUAAGCACCGGCUAACUACGUGCCAGCAGCCGCGGUAAUACGUAGGGUGCAAGCGUUGUCCGGAUUUAUUGGGUUUAAAGGGUGCGUAGGCGGACGAUUAAGUCUUGGGUGAAAUCCCACCGCUCAACGGUGGAACUGCCUGAGAAACUGGUUGUCUUGAGUAUAGUUGAGGUAGCUGGAAUUGGUGGUGUAGCGGUGAAAUGCAUAGAUACCACCAGGAACGUCAAUAGCGAAGGCAAGUUACUAAGCUAUAACUGACGCUGAUGCACGAAAGCGUGGGGAGCGAACAGGAUUAGAUACCCCCGUAGUCC
Molecule: ribosomal RNA, 443 nt
Filed under: uncultured prokaryote
Description: bacterial SSU rRNA
Rfam family: Bacterial small subunit ribosomal RNA
Source: RNAcentral